CAAUGAACUUAAGAUUUAUUAAUAAGAUAUUUACUAAAUCUUUUUUAGAA
RNAcentral lists this transfer RNA (50 nucleotides) under Eoscarta sp. 2 QW-2021. RNAcentral describes it as "partial tRNA-Leu". RNAcentral also lists the same sequence under 1 other name. Lineage: Eukaryota; Metazoa; Arthropoda; Insecta; Hemiptera; Cercopidae. The record is from RNAcentral.